This 334-nucleotide ribosomal RNA is filed under the name Staphylococcus aureus. Its description in RNAcentral is "bacterial SSU rRNA". It matches the Rfam family "Bacterial small subunit ribosomal RNA", at positions 1 to 323 of the family's 1533-position model. The record is from RNAcentral. Lineage: Bacteria; Bacillati; Bacillota; Bacilli; Caryophanales; Staphylococcaceae.
UUUUAUGGAGAGUUUGAUCCUGGCUCAGGAUGAACGCUGGCGGCGUGCCUAAUACAUGCAAGUCGAGCGAACGGACGAGAAGCUUGCUUCUCUGAUGUUAGCGGCGGACGGGUGAGUAACACGUGGAUAACCUACCUAUAAGACUGGGAUAACUUCGGGAAACCGGAGCUAAUACCGGAUAAUAUUUUGAACCGCAUGGUUCAAAAGUGAAAGACGGUCUUGCUGUCACUUAUAGAUGGAUCCGCGCUGCAUUAGCUAGUUGGUAAGGUAACGGCUUACCAAGGCAACGAUGCAUAGCCGACCUGAGAGGGUGAUCGGCCACACUGGAACUGAG